GACGAACGCUGGCGGCGUGCUUAACACAUGCAAGUCGAACGGAAAGGCCCUGCUUUUGUGGGGUGCUCGAGUGGCGAACGGGUGAGUAACACGUGAGUAACCUGCCCUUGACUUUGGGAUAACUUCAGGAAACUGGGGCUAAUACCGGAUAGGAGCUCCUGCUGCAUGGUGGGGGUUGGAAAGUUUCGGCGGUUGGGGCUGGACUCGCGGCUUAUCAGCUUGUUGGUGGGGUAGUGGCUUACCAAGGCUUUGACGGGUAGCCGGCCUGAGAGGGUGACCGGGCACAUUGGGACUGAGAUACGGACCAGACUCCUACGGGAGGCAGCAGUGGGGAAUAUUGCACAAUGGGCGGAAGCCUGAUGAAGAAACGCCGCGUGCGGGAUGACGGCCUUCGGGUUGUAAACCGCUUUCGCCUGUGACGAAGCGUGAGUGACGGUAAUGGGUAAAGAAGCACCGGCUAACUACGUG
This 468-nucleotide ribosomal RNA is filed under the name uncultured bacterium. Its description in RNAcentral is "partial 16S ribosomal RNA". It matches the Rfam family "Bacterial small subunit ribosomal RNA", at positions 28 to 507 of the family's 1533-position model. The record is from RNAcentral.